This 482-nucleotide ribosomal RNA is filed under the name uncultured bacterium. RNAcentral's name for it is "partial 16S ribosomal RNA". It matches the Rfam family "Bacterial small subunit ribosomal RNA", at positions 30 to 507 of the family's 1533-position model. The record is from RNAcentral.
AUUGAACGCUGGCGGCAUGCCUUACACAUGCAAGUCGAACGGUCACGGGCCUUCGGGUGCCGCCGAGUGGCGAACGGGUGCGUAAUACAUCGGAACGUGCCCGCUCGUUGGUGUUAACGAGGCUCAAGCUUUGCUAAUACCGCAUACGAUCUACGGUUUACAGCAGCGGACCGCAAGCCCUCGCGCGGCCGGGUCGCUCAGUAGCAGAUUAGUUAGUUGUUGGGAUAAAAGCAUCCCAAGCCUCCGAUCUGUAGCUGGUCUAAGAGGAAGAUCAGACACACUGGGACUGAAACACGGCCAAGAAGCCUAAAGGGGGCAGCAGUCGGGAAUUUUGGACAGUGGGCGGAAGCCUGAUCCAGCCAAGCCGCGUGCAGGAUGAGGACCUUCGGGUUGUAAAAAGCUAUUGUAGGGAACGAAAAGCCUUCUAUAAAGACAGGAAUGUCAUGACGGUACCGUAAGAAUAAGCACCGGCUAACUAAGUG